RNAcentral lists this ribosomal RNA (421 nucleotides) under uncultured bacterium. RNAcentral's name for it is "bacterial SSU rRNA". It matches the Rfam family "Bacterial small subunit ribosomal RNA", at positions 126 to 540 of the family's 1533-position model. The record is from RNAcentral.
GUGUCCCGUAGUGGGGGAUAACCCGGCGAAAGCCGGACUAAUACCGCAUAUGCUCUACGGAGGAAAGCGGGGGACCUGAAAGGGCCUCGCGCUAUGGGAGCGGCCGAUGUCCGAUUAGCUUGUUGGUGGGGUAAUGGCCUACCAAGGCGACGAUCGGUAGCUGGUCUGAGAGGAUGAUCAGCCACACUGGGACUGAGACACGGCCCAGACUCCUACGGGAGGCAGCAGUGGGGAAUUUUGGACAAUGGGGGCAACCCUGAUCCAGCCAUGCCGCGUGCGGGAAGAAGGCCUUCGGGUUGUAAACCGCUUUUAGUCGGGAAGAAAAGGCACGGGUGAAUACCCCGUGUUCUUGACGGUACCGGCGGAAUAAGCACCGGCUAACUACGUGCCAGCAGCCGCGGUAAUACGUAGGGUGCGAGCG